GACCGCCUGGGGAGUACGGCCGCAAGGUUAAAACUCAAAUGAAUUGACGGGGGCCCGCACAAGCGGUGGAGCAUGUGGUUUAAUUCGAUGCAACGCGAAGAACCUUACCUGGUCUUGACAUCCACAGAACUUUCCAGAGAUGGAUUGGUGCCUUCGGGAACUGUGAGACAGGUGCUGCAUGGCUGUCGUCAGCUCGUGUUGUGAAAUGUUGGGUUAAGUCCCGCAACGAGCGCAACCCUUAUCCUUUGUUGCCAGCGGUUCGGCCGGGAACUCAAAGGAGACUGCCAGUGAUAAACUGGAGGAAGGUGGGGAUGACGUCAAGUCAUCAUGGCCCUUACGACCAGGGCUACACACGUGCUACAAUGGCAUAUACAAAGAGAAGCGACCUCGCGAGAGCAAGCGGACCUCAUAAAGUAUGUCGUAGUCCGGAUUGGAGUCUGCAACUCGACUCCAUGAAGUCGGAAUCGCUAGUAAUCGUAGAUCAGAAUGCUACGGUGAAUACGUUCCCGGGCCUUGUACACACCGCCCGUCACACCAUGGGAGUGGGUUGCAAAAGAAGUAGGUAGCUUAACCUUCGGGAGGGCGCUUACCACUUUGUGAUUCAUGACUGGGGUGAAGUCGUAACAAGGUAACCGUAGGGGAACCUGCGGUUG
This 653-nucleotide ribosomal RNA is filed under the name Klebsiella pneumoniae. RNAcentral describes it as "bacterial SSU rRNA". It matches the Rfam family "Bacterial small subunit ribosomal RNA", at positions 867 to 1520 of the family's 1533-position model. The record is from RNAcentral. Lineage: Bacteria; Pseudomonadati; Pseudomonadota; Gammaproteobacteria; Enterobacterales; Enterobacteriaceae.